This 253-nucleotide ribosomal RNA is filed under the name uncultured bacterium. RNAcentral's name for it is "partial 16S ribosomal RNA". It matches the Rfam family "Bacterial small subunit ribosomal RNA", at positions 524 to 776 of the family's 1533-position model. The record is from RNAcentral.
UACAGAGGGGGCGAGCGUUGUUCGGAAUUACUGGGCGUAAAGGGCGCGUAGGCGGCCCGCUAAGUCGAACGUGAAAUCCCCAGGCUCAACCUGGGAACUGCGUCCGAUACUGGCAGGCUUGAAUCCGGGAGAGGGAUGUGGAAUUCCAGGUGUAGCGGUGAAAUGCGUAGAUAUCUGGAGGAACACCGGUGGCGAAGGCGGCACCCUGGACCGGUAUUGACGCUGAGGCGCGAAAGCUAGGGGAGCAAACGGG